Molecule: long non-coding RNA, 203 nt
Organism: Humulus lupulus (European hop)
Lineage: Eukaryota; Viridiplantae; Streptophyta; Magnoliopsida; Rosales; Cannabaceae
Exons: 3
Source: RefSeq, a predicted model, not a curated record
AGUAUUGAUUAUAUUCUUCAGGUUGGGGAUCGAAUUGGCAAGGAGCAUUGCAAAGGUAAUUUGCAAGAGUUGUUAAACCCAGACAAAAAACAAGAUUUUAGUAAGAGAACAACAUCAAAUACAAAUUCAUUGGAGAUGGAUAAAAGUUGGAUCCAUCUUAACAGAGUAACGGUGGAAUAUGAGCAAAAAGCUAGAGAGUUUGU